GAGUAAUGCGUUGGGUAUCUAGAUAUCUUAUCUAUGCACGUACCAAAACACGUUUUCGUCACUAUUAUAGUAUUUGUGCAGUAGUGGUUUGAAACGAACGUAUUUUUUUCUCGUGCCGAAAACCAUGUGUGACGAAAAACAUGAACAACGGAUAAACGUACAAUUUCUCGUUAAACUAAAAAAACUCCAACUGAGUAGUACUAUAAGUUGUUAAAAGAGGCCUAUAAUGAGGAUUUUCUAUCUCGGGCGCGUGUUUUUGAGUAGCAUAAAUUAUUUUCUGAAGGUCGAGAGUGCACCGGAAUCCAAUUCAGUCGUAAUCC
Molecule: non-coding RNA, 320 nt
Organism: Cinara cedri
Lineage: Eukaryota; Metazoa; Arthropoda; Insecta; Hemiptera; Aphididae
Source: the annotation of a GenBank genome assembly